ACCUGGGAGCCACACUCCAGUGCCCAGCCCAGUGCCUUCCACCAGCCCUCACCUUGGAGCACAAAUAGUGGUAUGUACCCCUUUAUCACAUCCUGUGUCCUCAUGGGAACCCCUCCUUUCUGCUUGGUGUUCAGCACCUAUCUUUCUCCUAAAAGGAAGAAAUAAUUUUGGAAUCUGACAAACCAGAUUGAGUUGACUCAAUUCUAGAAGCUCCUCACUCUCCUAGUUCCCACAUUUGACUACAGAAUGAGAAGGCUCUCUCGGCUUUCAACCCAUUGCUGACUGUCAAACCUACAAGAUCUCGUUGUCCCAAAUGCCAGUCCUACCAUGCCCUGAUCCUGCCAGGAGAGAGACCUAAUGGCUGUGGGUGCUGUUGGAUCGAAGACCUCAGUGGUGACCUCCGACACGUCACCUCAGCCCUCACCUGCAGCGAAUUCCCACUGGUGGUGACCUACACAGUGCCUGUUUCAGUGAUUUGUCCACGAGGUCAGGCACGCCUUCUCCUUCACUAGGGACAGCCAGCAGGUGCCUGGACGCUUGAUGCCUUUGCCUUCAUCAGGGACGGUCGGCAGGAGCCUGAACGCUCGGCAUCUUUGACUUCUCCAAGGACAGCCAGCAGGCGCCUGGACUCCCAGUGCCUUUGACUUCUCCAGGGACGGCCAGCAGGUGCCUGGACUCUCGGUGCCUUUGACUUCUCCAGGGACGGCCAGCAGGCACCUGGACGCUCAGCAUCUUUGACUUCUCCAGGGACGGCCAGCAGGUGCCUGGACUCUCGGUGCCUUUGACUUCUCCAGGGACGGCCAGCAGGCACCUGGACGCUCAGCAUCUUUGACUUCUCCAGGGACGGCCAGCAGGUGCCUGGACUCUCGGUGCCUUUGACUUCUCCAGGGAUGGCCAGCAGGCGAUUGGACGCUCGGUGUUUUGACUUCUCCAGGGACGGCCAGCAGGUGCCUGGACUCCCGGUGCCUUUGACUUCUCCAGGGACGGCCGCUCCAGCACUUCAUUGUGAAGGCAAACCUAGACGAUGUUACCUUGCUUCCAGGUUUCCAUUUCUGCAGGCGUGGGUGAGCUGCUCUGCUCCCUCACAGACUGGAUAUGAGGACAGUGUACACAUUUUUUUUUUUUUUUACAGGCAGAGUGGACAGAGAGAGAGAGAGAGAGAAAGGUCUUCCUUUGCCGUUGGUUCACCCUCCAAUGGCUGGUGCACUGCGCUGAUCCGAAGGCAGGAGCCAGGUACUUAUCCUGGUCUCCCAUGGGGUGCAGGGCCCAAGCACCUGGGCCAUCCUCCACUGCACUCCCGGGCCACAGCAGAGAGCUGGCCUGGAAGAGGGGCAACUGACAGAAUCCGGCGCCCUGACCGGGACUAG
This 1367-nucleotide long non-coding RNA is filed under the name Oryctolagus cuniculus (rabbit). RNAcentral describes it as "lncRNA (ENSOCUG00000033764.1)". The record is from RNAcentral. Lineage: Eukaryota; Metazoa; Chordata; Mammalia; Lagomorpha; Leporidae.